UAGGGAAUCUUCCGCAAUGGACGCAAGUCUGACGGAGCAACGCCGCGUGAGCGAUGAAGGUCUUCGGAUCGUAAAGCUCUGUUGUAAGGGAAGAACAAGUACCAGAGUAACUGCUGGUACCUUGACGGUACCUUACCAGAAAGCCACGGCUAACUACGUG
Molecule: ribosomal RNA, 160 nt
Filed under: uncultured bacterium
Lineage: Bacteria
Description: partial 16S rRNA
Rfam family: Bacterial small subunit ribosomal RNA
Source: RNAcentral